This 45-nucleotide non-coding RNA is filed under the name Schistosoma curassoni. The record is from RNAcentral. Lineage: Eukaryota; Metazoa; Platyhelminthes; Trematoda; Strigeidida; Schistosomatidae.
AUCCAGUUGACGAAUCCCAAAUAGGACGAAACAUGAGUCCUGGAU